AUGGUAACCUGUCUGUGCAUUGUGGAUUCGGAGCCCCCCGGCACCGUGGAGUGGUCUCUUCCAGCUGGACCCCUGCCCACCCUACCCAGUACCAGAGUGGAGAGGCAUGGGUCAGUUACCAUGGUGACCCUACAGAGGGCACUAGGCUUCUCCGAGACCAUCCACUGCCAUGCCAGCAACACACAGGGCAAUGCCACCUUGUCCUUCACUGUGUCCACAAAUGAUAAGAUGUUGAUGCUGUACGUUUUAAUUGGUAUUGCUGCAUUAGUGGUGGUAGUAAUACUAAUUACCAUGUCAGCUUGCCUAUUGAACAAGAAGGGUAGUAGGAGUCGUAGUGACCAGCCAGUAACCAGUAUGCAGGACGUGGAUACAGCCAAGGGUGCUUUUUCACAUCCCUCAACAUCAAGGAAAGAACAGAAAGACCCCAGCAGUGGAAUCCACACAAACUACUACACCAAUGAUCACCUAUAUGGAAACAUGGAGGCUGAAGAGGAUGGCGACCCAUACGAGUGUGUUGGUGGAGACGAUGCAGUCUAUGCUAAUGUGUGAACACAACAGGAAGCAUGUUGGAGUCAGCUGGCCCAGAGCCCAUGUUACUCAUAGGCUGCCACCUCUACAAUGUAUUCAGUCAAAAUGCAUUUUUUAUUGUACUUAACACAAACCAAAACCAUACCAAAGGCACUAACAUGCAUUUAAAUGCAUUUAAAUUACUACAAAAAUGUCAAAAUGCAUGUCCCUCCAUGCACUCCCAGUGACUUCUAGAAAGAUUUGAGCCCAGUAACCCCAAAUAUACUCACUGUAAAGCCCUAGUUAUUUUGUUGCUUUGAUGAAGUUAUUUCUGAAGAUUAUUAUGUAUUUUAUGUGAAAAGUGAUUCCUUUGUCUGUUACGUGAACUGAACUCUCGUUUUAAUACGGAGGAACUAUUCCUUUUUAAAUGAUAGUGUAAAAGCAGGUGAGCUGGUUAUACUCUUUUGGCCAUUUUCUGGUGUUUUGUGGUGAAAAACUGAGCGGGUCUAGCAUAAUACGCCAACCCUGUUACCCAUAGAUAGACAGGCUAGAAAUGUUUAAGAAUUUAAAAUGAUUUGUGAAUCUUGCAUUCAACUGACCCUCCCUGUUGCACACAACAAGCUUCCAUUCUUCUUGUCACAAGGAGAUACAUGGCUGAUUUAACUAGUUAUUACCAGUUGGAGGGGCAUUCAAGUGGAUAUUUCCUAACCAUCCACUGUAGAGCUGCACAAUACCACUCAUUUGAAGCACAGGCUACUGUGGCUAUUUGAUCAUAAUAUAGGCCCACCAAAGUGGCUUACCAUCAAAAACAGUGGAGGAAAUGCAUCCCAUAACAUUUUAACAUGGAAAUAGCUGUUCUAUCAUUCAGUCUACAGUAUCAUUCAAUGUGUGGUGUUCAAUGUAGGCCUACAUUCUAUGAGACGUAAAAAAAUAAAACAUGCAGGGCUUGACAUUAACCUGUUUAUCCACCUGUCCUUCAGAGAAGGAGGUGACUGAAAAUGUUGUUGUUUGAUGCAAGAAACAUCUUUACAAAAUAAAAUGUAUUAUUAUUCCCAUACCAUUAUUACAGAGAAUCAGACAAAUUAUUCUACCCUCUGUCUAUUAGCUUAUUUAAGCCUGUGUCAAAAUUCAACACUGCCCCUUUAAAACAAACAUAAAAGCUCUUUACCUAACUCACUUUUCUAAGAUGUCUAGAAGUGUUUGUAGGAAGCAAUCACUCCUCUAUUGCUGACUACAAAUGAUCUAUAACUGGGCUAAUAACACACUAACUAGCAAAGGAUGUGAACAAAAUGUGCAAAUGUGGCUACAUGCAACUCUCGCUUUGAUCUCAAAACAAGCUCAUCUACUCAUGACCGCUAAUGCUAGAAACACAGUCCAGUUCAAAGUAAAUGGCACCGAACCAUAUAUGGCAAUGGUCUAUUUGCGUAUAGUCCUACUGCAGCUCUAAUUGUUAUGCUGCACCAGUUUGUGUAGAAUACGGUCUGUGUAGACGAGAGUAUGGGUUGAGUAGUGCAUGUCAAUACAACAGAAUCCUACUCCGAUGCAUUCUGCCUACAACAAAAUCUGUUGCAUAGUUUGUUUUGUUUCGGUAUGUUGCAUUGAAAGUGGCUAAUAUUGCGUUGAUUUGAUCACAAUUGCCACAGUAAAGAGAAACAUUGAUAGUGUUAACAGGGAGAACUCUAGAACAAUGGUCACCAACCUUCACUGAGUCAAGAUCACUUUGAGUCAAAAUGCAAGCCGAGAUCUACCGCUCAGAUUAAUUUUUUAACAUGACUUAAAAGAUGGAAGCCUAUGCAACAUUAACCAAUUAAAAACAGUACUGUAGCAAUGAGGUUUGUGCAGUAAGUUAUAUGCCCAAUAUAUUAUCACUGCAUAUUGGCUUUCUUGAAUUGCCCUGCCAAUAAAUUGUUGUUUGGGCCAUUUUUUAAAAUUAUAUUUCUAAAUUUGAGUUAGGCUAUGUGAUCACACCGGUAAUAGAGCCGUUGUUAUAUUACUUGUGAAGCACAGCUGAGUGUCACGAAUCCCACCGAAGGUGGCUCCCCUGCCUGCUCGGGCGGCGCUCGGCUGUCGUCGUCACCGGCCUACUAGCCGCCGCUGAUCCCUUUUUCCUUUUCGUUUGGUAUGUCUUAUUGUUUGCACCUGUUCCUCAUUUGGGUCUUUUGAUUUUGGUUAUUUAAGCCUGGUUAGCCCGCCCAGGUUUGUGCGGGAUUAUUUAGCGUCAGGUUGUGUUUUGAUGUGCUGGCGAUCUACGACUGUUAUAUUUUAUGCAUGCUGUGCACCUGUUCUGGGCACUUAGCAUUUUUUCCACGCCGGUUGUGUUGGCGUCGAUCGUGUUGUGUUUUUAAACACAACAUGCCUUACCUCUGCUCUCUGCGCCUGACUCCUACCACCACUCCUAGCAACGACUGACACUGAGUGAGCAUACAUUUAAAUCUGCUUUUAUUUUUAUUUUACUGGGCUGAUCGUACCUGCAUCUGAUAGUCAGUCUCAGCCGACGGAGAGAGCAGCAGACUGAGGGUCCGCCUCCGCUAUCCCUUUCCUCCGCUGACACUGACCAAAAAGGGACACCAUCUUCCAGCUGAUGGCGAACUCGAGCUCCAUCCUAUGAAGAGAGAAGGUGAAAUAUUCCUCGAUGUUCAAAAAUACCCAAGCCACUAAUAAUAACCACAACGCAAGCCUAUAGAUACGCUUUCCUACUCAUUCAUUACUGCUGCAGUGCUUGUUGUGGCGCUGAGUAAAUAUACCCUUAUGAAAAAAUAUUGCAGUCAGAGCACUGUACAACUGCAGGACACUACAGUAUAACUGCAGUUAGAGUGCAGUAUAACUGCAGUAUGCUGCAAUUACUGUGUCCUAAAUACCACAGUUGACUGCAGGUAAUGCCCUUUUACUGCAGUUUCAAAACUGCAAUCUUUUUUUGUUAGGGUAGGAAGAAUGCGCAUUUUAUGGCUUAUAAAAGUGUUGAAUAUAAGUGUUGACAGUGCUGAGUAAGAACUUAAAAAUUAACUCAAUGAUAAAAACAGCAUCUCUUUUCUGUGUUCGUUGAAUGGCAACAGUUCGCCUACCCGGCAUGCAGGACAGCUGAUUCGGGUGCACCUACCGCCAACAACCUGAGACAAAUAAAAAUAAAUAGGAACACAAGGCUUUAUCGUUGGGUUUUUUACAGAAAUAUUGGGCGGUCAGCUAGGAGUGCCUUGGAGAUCGACAAGUUGAUCGCGAUCGACCGGUUGGUGACCACUGCUCUAGAAAGUUAAGUGAAGUUCAAUCUCAUGCUUCUCUCUCUGUGGACUGAUAUUUCUGUGUGGCAGUCACGGGAGCUGAGCGGCAGUCUUGUGGCUACUCUCGCGCAGCUUAGUGGGAACAUUGGAAAUAAAUACUUUCAUCAGCUGUCUGGGUGGCUGGUCUCAGACGAUCCUGCAGGUGAAGAAGCAGGAUGUGGAGGUCCUGGAAUGGCUUGGUUACAUGUGGUCUGCAGUUGUGAGGCCAGUUGGACAUACUGCCAAAUUCUCUAAAACGACGUUGAAGGCAGCUUGUGGUAGAGAAAUUAAAUUAUCUGGAAACAGCUCUGGUGGACAUUCCUGCAGUCAGCAUGACAAUAGCAUGCUCCCCCAAAACUUGAGACAUCUGUGGCAUUGUGUUGUGUGACAAAAUUGCACAUUUUGGAGUGGCCUUUCAUUGUCCCCAGCACAAGGUGCACCUGUGUAUUGAUCAUGCUGUUUAAUCAGCUUCUUGAUAUGCCACACCUGUCAGGUGGAUGGAUUAUCUUGGCAAAGGAGAAAUGCUCACUAACAGGGAUGUAAACAGUUUUGUUCAACAUUUCAGAGAAGUAACUUUUGUGCUUAUUGGAACAUUUCUGGGAUCUUUUAUUUCAGUUCAUGAAACAUGGGACCAACACUAUAUAUGUUGCAUUUAUUUUGAUUUUAUUUAACCUUUAUUUAACUAGGCAAGUCAGUUAAGAACAAAUUCUUAUUUACAAUGACGGCCUACCCUGGCCAAACCCGGACGACGCUGGGCCGAUUGUGCACCGCCCCCUAUGGGACUCCCAAUCACGGCCGGAUAUGAUACAGCCUGGAUAUAGUUUGUUCAGUAUAUAUUAUUAUUAUUUAAUUUGUUUAUUUAUUCUGAUUCAUCAGGAGGUGCUGCAGCACCCAUCAGCACCCCUACUUCCUGUGGCUAUGUCUGUGAUCAUAACCUAGAACCCUUGCUGAGUUGCUAAAGACCAUUAGCCUGCAUUCACUCAUUCACAAAAGAUGUUUCAUUGUAUUUGAAUAUAGUCUGUAUGUCACGCCCUGACCAUAGAGAGCCCUCGGGCUUCUCUAUGGUGUAAUAGGUCAGAGCGUGACUAAGGGGUUUUUCUAGUUAUUAUACUUCUAUGUUGGUGUGUGAGUGGUUCCCAAUUGGAGGCAGCUGAAUAUCGUUGCCUCUAAUUGGGGAUCAUACUUAGUGUGUCCCUUUUCCCACCUGCGUUGUGGGAUAUUGUUUUUGUGUGAGUGCCUUUGUGCGCUACGUUUUGCACGAUCGUUAAUUGUUGUUUUGAAGUUUCACUGUAAUAAAUGUGUGGAACUCUACUCACGCUGCGCCUUGGUCCGAUUAUUUAAGCGACGAUCAUGACACUAAUGUUUGUUCCUGAAUCUCCCAUUCUACUACUGAGUUAUUUUUCAUCCUUUUUCUACCACAGUUUAUGUUCUUACUGGAACACUG
This is a long non-coding RNA of Salmo trutta (river trout), 5205 nucleotides long. NCBI's taxonomy places the organism in Eukaryota, Metazoa, Chordata, Actinopteri, Salmoniformes, Salmonidae. The record is from Ensembl.